GGCAGAAAAGGCCGGCGUGUGGGGCGGGCCUGGGGAAGGGACUCCCGCGGCCCUAAGGUGCUGGCGGGCGUUUGGCGUUGCAGCUGUGUGGGCGCUGGUGCGUGCGAGUAGCGCUCGAAGAAACCCAAAGGCGUCGUGGGGCUGCCGUGUGCCCCAGAGAGCACUGCAGGCCGGGUAGGGGCUAAGGCUCCCCGCAGUCUUCUGUGUGUCGUCCAGUACGCAGUUGAAAUCGUUCUCCAACCUGGCCAGUCCUCCGAGGCCCUUCUCAGGCGACCAGACUCUGUUAACAGAGUCCAUUGCUAAAACUCCUCGUUAGUAUUUACCACUCCUCCAGUCUGUGUUUUGAAGCAGUGGUUUUCAACCACUGCCCGUUUUCAGAAGAAAUCAUCUCAAGCGUCCGUGUGCUGCUAGAAGCCGGGCCGGGAGGUCUUGGUGCCGGACUCCACCCUGCAGCCCUUCCCUUUCGCCACCGCCCUGUGCUUAGAGAAACCUUAGAGUGGAGCAAUGAGUCGCCCUUGACUGAGUAACUCUUCGGGGUCAACUUCUCCUUCCACGCCAAGGAAAGGAUUCCAGGGCGAUGUUUCUGGAAAUAGAGAUCUGACCAAGCCACUGCUCUGAGCAAUGCAAACCUGAAACUACUCCUGCCAAGAAACGAUUGCAGCUCUUCCCGGAAAAGUUAAAGCCUUUGAGAAACAAAGCUGAGGUUGAAAGUAUUAGUCCAUUUUAUAGAUGAAGAAAUGGAGGCCCAGAGAGAUCACGUGACUUAGCCAAGUCCACCAAGGCCUAGGGGAUGCCAAAUUCCAGGGUCCAGAAAGAGCUUGGGAUAAAAUGAACAUCCAAGGGGAGGGCUUUGACCUGGGCUGAGUCUGCCUGUGCCGAGUCUGCCUGUGCCAUCCAACUGGAGUCUCAAGUCCUGAGGCAGGACGUCCAGAUGCCCCAGUGCAGGGUCCUCCUGAUCAACACCUGCUCCCCUGUACUCAUUAGCAACCUCACCCACCCUACUCUCAAAGCACACUUGGCUCUCAUAUCCAGGAGCUCUGCAUCUGUAGAUUCAGCAACAGCAGAUGGAAAAUAUUCAGAAAAUAAAUUGGACAGUUAUAUUUCUAU
This 1107-nucleotide long non-coding RNA is filed under the name Homo sapiens (human). Its description in RNAcentral is "novel transcript". The record is from RNAcentral. Lineage: Eukaryota; Metazoa; Chordata; Mammalia; Primates; Hominidae.